RNAcentral lists this transfer RNA (61 nucleotides) under Chitinophagaceae bacterium. Its description in RNAcentral is "tRNA-Asp". It matches the Rfam family "tRNA", at positions 9 to 63 of the family's 71-position model. Rfam says of the family: Transfer RNA (tRNA) molecules are approximately 80 nucleotides in length. The record is from RNAcentral. Lineage: Bacteria; Pseudomonadati; Bacteroidota; Chitinophagia; Chitinophagales; Chitinophagaceae.
AGUUCAGUUGGUUAGAAUGCCGCCCUGUCACGGCGGAGGUCGCGGGUUCGAGUCCCGUCCA